AUUGAACGCUGGCGGUAUGCUUAACACAUGCAAGUCGAACGGCAGCAUGGUCUAGCUUGCUAGACUGAUGGCGAGUGGCGGACGGGUGAGUAACGCGUCGGAAUAUGCCUUGAAGAGUUGGACAACUUUGGGAACAUCAAGCUAAUACCGCAUGUACUCGAGAGAGUAAAGCUGGGGGCCUUUAGGCCUGCCGCUUUAAGAUUAGCCUGCGUCCGAUUAGCUAGUUGGUAGGGUAAAGGCCUACCAAGGCGACGAUCGGUAGAUGGUCUGAGAGGAUGAUAAGCCACACUGGAACUGAGGGACGGUCCAGAAUCCUACGGGAGGCAGCAGUGGGGAAUAUGGGACAAUGGGGGGAACCCUGAUCCAGCAAUGCCGCGUGUGUGAAGAAGGCCUGAGGGUUGUAAAGCACUUUCAGUGGGGAGGAGGUUUGGAAGGUUAAGAGCUAUUCAAAUGGACGUUACCCACAGAAGAAGCACCGGCUAACUCCGUGCCAGCCGCCGCCGUAA
RNAcentral lists this ribosomal RNA (506 nucleotides) under uncultured bacterium. Its description in RNAcentral is "partial 16S ribosomal RNA". It matches the Rfam family "Bacterial small subunit ribosomal RNA", at positions 30 to 523 of the family's 1533-position model. The record is from RNAcentral.